GGGAUAGUUCAGCUGGUAGAGCAUGAGACUCUUAAUCUCAGGGUUGUAGCUUUGAGCCCCAUGUUGGACCA
Podarcis lilfordi (Lilford's wall lizard) is the source of this 71-nucleotide non-coding RNA. The record is from the annotation of a GenBank genome assembly. NCBI's taxonomy places the organism in Eukaryota, Metazoa, Chordata, Lepidosauria, Squamata, Lacertidae.